AAUCAACGCUGGCGGCGUGCCUAACACAUGCAAGUCGAACGAGAAAGUGGAGCAAUCCAUGAGUAAAGUGGCGCACGGGUGAGUAACACGUGACUAACCUACCUUUUAGUGGGGGAUAACCUAGGGAAACCUGGGCUAAUACCGCAUAAUACCUACGGGUCAAAGCAGCAAUGCGCUGAAAGAGGGGGUCGCGGCCGAUUAGCCAGUUGGCGGGGUAAUGGCCCACCAAGGCGAUGAUCGGUAUCCGGCCUGAGAGGGCGCACGGACACACUGGAACUGAAACACGGUCCAGACUCCUACGGGAGGCAGCAGUGGGGAAUUUUGCGCAAUGGGGGAAACCCUGACGCAGCAACGCCGCGUGGAGGAUGAAGUCCCUUGGGACGUAAACUCCUUUCGAUCGGGAAGAUAAUGACGGUACCGGAAGAAGAAGCCCCGGCUAACUUCGUGCCAGCAGCCGCGGUAAUACGAGGGGGGCAAGCGUUGUUCGGAAUUAUUGGGCGUAAAGGGUGCGUAGGUGGUUCGGCAAGUCUUGUGUGAAAUCUCAGGCUCACUUGAAGUCUGACAGAAACUGCCGGGCUUGAGUAUG
Molecule: ribosomal RNA, 586 nt
Filed under: uncultured Acidobacteriaceae bacterium
Lineage: Bacteria; Pseudomonadati; Acidobacteriota; Terriglobia; Terriglobales; Acidobacteriaceae
Description: bacterial SSU rRNA
Rfam family: Bacterial small subunit ribosomal RNA
Source: RNAcentral